This 496-nucleotide ribosomal RNA is filed under the name uncultured bacterium. Its description in RNAcentral is "partial 16S ribosomal RNA". It matches the Rfam family "Bacterial small subunit ribosomal RNA", at positions 28 to 506 of the family's 1533-position model. The record is from RNAcentral.
GAUGAACGCUGGCGGCGUGCCUAAUACAUGCAAGUCGAGCGAACGGACGAGAAGCUUGCUUCUCUGAUGUUAGCGGCGGACGGGUGAGUAACACGUGGAUAACCUACCUAUAAGACUGGGAUAACUUCGGGAAACCGUAGCUAAUACCGGAUAAUAUUUUGAACCGCAUGGUUCAAAAGUGAAAGACGGUCUUGCUGUCACUUAUAGAUGGAUCCGCGCUGCAUUAGCUAGUUGGUAAGGUAACGGCUUACCAAGGCAACGAUGCAUAGCCGACCUAAGAGGGUGAUCGGCCACACUGGAACUGAGACACGGUCCAGACUCCUACGGGAGGCAGCAGUAGGGAAUCUUCCGCAAUGGGCGAAAGCCUGACGGAGCAACGCCGCGUGAGUGAUGAAGGUCUUCGGAUCGUAAAACUCUGUUAUUAGGGAAGAACAUAUGUGUAAGUAACUGUGCACAUCUUGACGGUACCUAAUCAGAAAGCCACGGCUAACUACGU